AACGAACGCUGGCGGCAUGCCUAACACAUGCAAGUCGAACGAGACCUUCGGGUCUAGUGGCGCACGGGUGCGUAACGCGUGGGAACCUGCCUUUAGGUUCGGAAUAACUCAGAGAAAUUUGAGCUAAUACCGGAUGAUGUCUUCGGACCAAAGAUUUAUCGCCUUUAGAUGGGCCCGCGUUGGAUUAGCUAGUUGGUGGGGUAAAGGCCUACCAAGGUGACGAUCCAUAGCUGGUCUGAGAGGAUGAUCAGCCACACUGGGACUGAGACACGGCCCAGACUCCUACGGGAGGCAGCAGUGGGGAAUAUUGGACAAUGGGCGAAAGCCUGAUCCAGCAAUGCCGCGUGAGUGAUGAAGGCCUUAGGGUUGUAAAGCUCUUUUACCCGAGAUGAUAAUGACAGUAUCGGGAGAAUAAGCUCCGGCUAACUCCGUG
RNAcentral lists this ribosomal RNA (433 nucleotides) under uncultured bacterium. Its description in RNAcentral is "partial 16S ribosomal RNA". It matches the Rfam family "Bacterial small subunit ribosomal RNA", at positions 29 to 507 of the family's 1533-position model. The record is from RNAcentral.